GGAUGUGAGGGUGAUGUGGUUGUGACAUUUGUCACCCAAUUGAUGACCAGUAUUGAUUUGACUGAUCUGGCUCGCUAGGCAAGUGUCCCCUUCCUUCCUCACUGCUCCCAUGUGCAUCCCUCCCAAAGCUAUCCUCUGUCAAAGAGGAUGACCUUCCCCAAAUACAGACGGACUUGUCUCUGGCCAGGGUAUCUGAGAGUCGUUGUACUCCCCUGCUAGAUAGAACCUCCAAACAAGCUCUCUAGAGAAGGGGGUGGGGUUCAAGGGAAGACAGCAUAUUGUAAACACAUUUCCUGCCUGAAGUUCUGAAGUCCUAGG
This 318-nucleotide small nuclear RNA is filed under the name Erinaceus europaeus (western European hedgehog). RNAcentral's name for it is "7SK RNA (ENSEEUG00000021458.1)". It matches the Rfam family "7SK RNA". Rfam says of the family: 7SK was discovered as an abundant small nuclear RNA in the mid-70s but a possible function has only recently been suggested. Two independent studies have found that 7SK RNA binds the CDK9/cyclin T complex (known as elongation factor P-TEFb). The record is from RNAcentral. Lineage: Eukaryota; Metazoa; Chordata; Mammalia; Eulipotyphla; Erinaceidae.